GUCGAGAAUAAUUCACAAUGGACGAAAGUCUGAUGGUGCAACGCCGCGUGGAGGAUGAAGGUCUUCGGAUUGUAAACUCCUGUCAUCGGGGAGUAAGACCUGGCGGUAAAUAGCCGACAGGGUUGAUAGUACCCGAAGAGGAAGGGACGGCUAACUUCGUGCCAGCAGCCGCGGUAAUACGAAGGUCCCAAGCGUUGUUCGGAAUCACUGGGCGUAAAGGGAGCGUAGGCGGCGUGGUAAGUCAGAUGUGAAAUCCCGGGGCGCAACACCGGAACUGCAUCCGAUACUGCCAUGCUUGAGGGUUGGAGAGGUAGCUGGAAUUCUCGGUGUAGCAGUGAAAUGCGUGGAUAUCGAGAGGAACACUCGUGGCGAAGGCGAGCUACUGGACAACAUCUGACGCUGAGGCUCGAAGGCCAGGGGAGCAAAAGGGAUUAGAAACCCUUGUAGUCC
Molecule: ribosomal RNA, 450 nt
Filed under: uncultured bacterium
Lineage: Bacteria
Description: partial 16S ribosomal RNA
Rfam family: Bacterial small subunit ribosomal RNA
Source: RNAcentral